Molecule: long non-coding RNA, 2490 nt
Organism: Pan troglodytes (chimpanzee)
Lineage: Eukaryota; Metazoa; Chordata; Mammalia; Primates; Hominidae
Exons: 4
Source: RefSeq, a predicted model, not a curated record
GACACUGGCCCUCAGAAGGCCAUGGGCUCACCAAGGGCUGCCAGUUCGCAGAAGUCCCUCACCUUUGUUCCACACCUGCUGACUUUCUAAACUGCUGUCCUCUGGACUGUGCUAGGUACACAUGACAGCACCUUGGCAGCCAUGUCUUUCAGAGCCCCAUUAUGCAAUGCCACGGCCCUAGAAGCAGAAGGAACCAUCAAAGAACCAGGCUAAAGGACUUUGGGACCAACAGGCAUUCAGGAAUGCGCCUGGCCAGGAGCUAAGGGGCCACCAGCUGACAAGAGUUGCCACCAGACACGCCAGGUAGAAGAUGUCAGCUGGCAAUGGCCAUGCCAGCCUAAGCUACCUCUGUGGAGUGAACAAUGUAGCCCAGAAGAGCCAGCACAGAUCCCUCCCACCUAUCAGCCCUGUCUUCCCCCAUCUUGAUGCAUGUCCCAGUAUGAUUCUCAGUGGCCAUUGGAAUAUUGCAGUUGCAAGCAAAGGUGACUUCAGCUGGGGGAUUUGUCACACGCGUCCAUGUGAAGAGACCACCAAACAGGCUUUAUCAAAAUCUUUCAAAAGAAGUGUCUGUCCUCAUGAUCUCCAAUUCCCCUCUUCCUGCACUCUCUGGAACCUACUCCAGUCUGUUCCACGCUGUCACCAGGGUGAGCAAUGACGUGGGAAGGUUGAACCUGCGGUCAGCUCCGAGCGCGCAUCCUCCUUGACCCGCCCGCCAUGACUGGCACAGGCCACUUAAUGACUGAGCCAAAUCCAGAGAGGUUUCUCCAGGAAACAAGAUGGACUCGUGGAUUCUGGCUGAUCUUGGAUAUUGACACAUUAUUCAAAGCUCUACUGGUUUGAGGUCAUCAUAUUACUAACAAAAGUGGCAGGCACAAAAUUUACUAACCCUACCAAAGCUGCUUGCAUAGCUCAUGACCACUGGGCACCAUCAACAAUGAAAUCCGCAAUAGGGCCAUGUUUUCAAUUUCUAUGAGAGCCGGAACUAAAGAACACAGGCCAUGGACAAAACACCCAACUGCAGUAAACACAAUUUCUAAAAUAUUGGAGUACCUUAAAGAACCACUUCACAGCCAUAGCCCCAAGCACCGAACACCUGAGGACUCCAUGUAUUUAUGAUUUAGGCCCAAAUUUUCUGUUGCAAUACAGAUAGGGGUAAUGCUUGGUCCCUAAGAGAAAUAUAAAAUGAAACCAGUGGGAUUUUGUGUGGAUCAAGGUAGAAAACAACUGGCUUAUUGUGAAAAAGAGCAGGAUGCCAGGCCUUCCUUGUGAACUUAGAAUUGAAGGUAAAGGUGCUUCCAUCAGCAAGCAAUGCUGACCAGAGCUCAGGGAGGGUGUGGCUGUGCUUGUCCGGAACAGUAGGCAUGGGGUCCAUAAACAAGGGCUCCACCCCUCCCAGCCUGAGUGCUCUCAAAGCCAAGGGCCAGCAACAGAUUGGUUUUGCUAACCAUGCAGACAUCCCCUUGGUAAUAUAAAUAUGCCCUAUCAAAUUAUGGAGGGAUGUUGCACACAAAUCCUGCACAGAAGUUGGCCGAAGGACCAAAGCUGCCACAUCUUUUUGCCAUGACAGAUGGAGCUACCCAAAGCUGUUUCUGAAAAUUCUGUCCCAUAAGCCCUAUGGCAAAUUCAUGGGAAUGAGCUAUCCAGGAAAAAGGCAGACUUCUUACCGAGAAAUAUUCAAAUCAUCCCCCAAACCAAGGAUGGAGGAGUAAAGACUCCCUAGCCCUUCUGUUCAGGAAGACUCCUCGAGAAACUGUUGCACUGUCUCUUUGCCCAACGCAUGUCCCCCCACCACACCAUCCCCUCAUCUCUCUGCCCCUCCAAGGCUGAUCCCCCACCAAGACCCCGGCAGAGAGGACUGCUUGUCAGGAUGGGUGUCUGUCACCACAGUGCUUCUCCCAGGGGCAGUGAGUGAUGCUGGCAGCUAUGAAGCCCUGGCUGGAUCCCAGAUAGGUAACACAGGCAUCAGGAGCAGGUGUGGACGUGCAGACUGGAACUGCCAUCUUCUGAGCCCUGGAGAAGACAUCUGAGCUCUGGAGAGGACAUCGUUGUGAUUCAUGCAGCCCUCGGUGUCCACAGAGGGCAGAGCCUCCUGUCAGCUUCAGUGACCUCCUCUGACCCCUGGGUCUGGGCCUGGACCCUCUGCUGAAGGGCCACACACAGUGAGCCUGUCCCUGAGAUGGAAACAGAGGGGACACAUGUGGCUAACAAAAUGUUCUGCAUUCUUUUGAGUAGAUGGAUGAGAACAUAGAGAAACUGGAGAAGGAAAGAAGGAAGGAAGGAAGGAAGGAAGGAAGUGAGGGAGGGAAGGGAAGUUAGGGAGGGAGGGAGGGAGGAAGGGAGGGAGGGAGGGAAUACAAGAAUUAAUGGACGGACUAAUGAGCACACAAACCAACUGGUGGGAACCAUACAGGAACUCCCUCAAAUCAACCAGGGAGUUUGAUUUAUUUAAUACUCUGCACCUGCAACCAAAGUAAUAAUGAUGAUAAUAAA